CCGCAGGAACAAUGGAUAAUGGAGCAACCACAAGAAUAACAAGAAAUUAGGCUUCGUUUGUGUGGUCUCUGAAUCUAUUGUGGCUGAUCAUGAUAUGAGAGGACGCUGGGUGGACUCUGCAUCGACCAGACAUGUUUCAAAAAAAAAUGAUGGUUUUGUCAAUUUGAAGGUGUUAUAGGUGUUGGCACAUACAAGCUGGAGUUACCU
Molecule: long non-coding RNA, 207 nt
Filed under: Amborella trichopoda
Lineage: Eukaryota; Viridiplantae; Streptophyta; Magnoliopsida; Amborellales; Amborellaceae
Description: long non-coding RNA (ATRI_LNC001385)
Source: RNAcentral